GACGUAGGGCGCGAGCGUUGUCCGGAUUUAUUGGGCGUAAAGAGCUCGUAGGCGGCUUGUUGCGUCGACCGUGAAAACCCGGGGCUCAACUCCGGAUCUGCGGUGGGUACGGGCAGACUAGAGUGAUGUAGGGGAGACUGGAAUUCCUGGUGUAGCGGUGAAAUGCGCAGAUAUCAGGAGGAACACCGAUGGCGAAGGCAGGUCUCUGGGCAUUAACUGACGCUGAGGAGCGAAAGCAUGGGGAGCGAACAGG
This 253-nucleotide ribosomal RNA is filed under the name uncultured bacterium. RNAcentral describes it as "partial 16S ribosomal RNA". It matches the Rfam family "Bacterial small subunit ribosomal RNA", at positions 524 to 776 of the family's 1533-position model. The record is from RNAcentral.